Molecule: ribosomal RNA, 327 nt
Filed under: uncultured eukaryote
Lineage: Eukaryota
Description: partial 18S ribosomal RNA
Rfam family: Eukaryotic small subunit ribosomal RNA
Source: RNAcentral
CCCUUAGAUGUUCUGGGCCACACGCGCGUUACACUGAUGAAGCCAGCGAGCAUAUCGCCUUCACCGGAAGGUGCGGGUAAUCUUGUGAAACUUCAUCGUGCUGGGGAUAGACCAUUGCAAUUAUUGGUCUUGAACGAGGAAUUCCUAGUAAGCAUGAGUCAUCAACUCGUGCUGAUUACGUCCCUGCCCUUUGUACACACCGCCCGUCGCUACUACCGAUUGAAUGGUUUAGUGAGAUCUCGGGAUUGGAGACGUUGCGCCGCAAGGCACAUCGUCCUCGAGAACUUGAUCAAACUUGAUCAUUUAGAGGAAGUAAAAGUCGUAACA